AAGCUCUGCUACACAAAUUAUGUGCUAUGGCGGACACAGAUCACGCCCCAGCUGAGAGGGGCCGGUCUCUUUGGCUAUGCGGACGGCACCAUGCAGGAACCAACUAGUCUUAUCGUCACCAAGAAUAAGGACAGCAAGAAGACUUCUGAGCCCAACCCUCUCCACCCCAUCUGGGUCGAGGACCAGCAGGUGCUCGGCUUCCUGCUCAGCAACCUUUCCAAAGAGGUGCUCGUCAUGGAGACCGCAAUC
This 249-nucleotide ribosomal RNA is filed under the name Triticum aestivum (bread wheat). RNAcentral describes it as "partial small subunit ribosomal RNA". The record is from RNAcentral. Lineage: Eukaryota; Viridiplantae; Streptophyta; Magnoliopsida; Poales; Poaceae.